Molecule: unclassified non-coding RNA, 374 nt
Filed under: soil metagenome
Description: partial internal transcribed spacer 1
Rfam family: 5.8S ribosomal RNA (bases 1-120)
Source: RNAcentral
GAUGAAGAACGCAGCGAAAUAUGAUAAUUAAUGUGAAUUGCAGAAUUCCGUGAAUCAUCGAGUCUUUGAACGCACAUUGCGCCUCAUGGCAUUCCGUGAGGCAUGCCCAUCUCAGCGUUAGAAAAUAUUCUCAAAUUUUAGUUUUGUGCUAAAAUUUGGAUCAUGUCAAAGAAGCUAUUACUAUUAUUGUGAUCGCUCUUUGGAAAUUGAUAGGUCUUUGAGUUGCUACUCAUAGAACGUGAUGAAUCUUUCUUCGUUCUAUUGUAAUUCACUCUGGUAGUCCUAAAACUUGUAUGCCUGUGGCAUAUCUUGUAAUUUGACCUGAGAUUGGGCAGGGAUACCCGCUGAACUUAAGCAUAUCAAUAAGCGGAGGA